GCAUUUAUUGUUCAAACAAAAUAGCCCACUUUUGUAGGCUUACUGACAGCUAAUCUGGAUUUAAAAAAAAAUUAACAGUCCAUAUUACAAAUUUGUAAGUCCAAAAUUAUACAAUGAAGUCUACACUGCUAAAGAAUCUAGCACAUUAAAAGUUGAUAAUCCGAAAAAUUCUAAAGGAACAAAAAUACAAUAAAAAUGAAGGCUUCUACUGAUUCCAGGUUUCCCUUUGAUUACUUCUUCAAAUCCAAUGUGCCAAAUCUGCAAGAACCAAAUACAGAGCUGCUUCUUACAAAGCUACUUGCCCAGGCUCCUAACAUGAGACUUCUUAUCGCUAAAUCAGCCUUGUUUCCUAAGUAUCUCAUGGAUCUGACCAUGGAAAAGGUCAGAUUCACAAGAUUACUUCAGUCAUACUACCUUGACAGACCUAAGUUAAAGCUUAAGAAUGCAAUAAUAAUAAAAGAAGAUGAUUGUUCAUGAGUUUAACCAUAUUGAAGGUUAAACACAUAACCAUUAAAGGACUUCAGCUCAAAAUCCUAGCAGCCUCAUCUUCUUUCCCAAAACAUGUAAAUCCUACCUCAAAAGCUUUCAGAACCAAUUGGUCCAACCAACUGGUGGCUAAACCAAUAAGCUACAGCUUAUGAUCAGACAGCCCAAAAGACAAAUGAAAGGAGCAUUUUGGAAAGAAAAAGAAUCAGAUGAAGGAGAGAAAGAAAGCAUUGUGAACUGAACCUAAAUAAUGUCAUAAGAUACAGCUAUUGAUGCUAUUUUGACACCACUUUUCUACAUGCUGAAAUGCACAGAAAGACACAUGAAAAAGCUGAUGAAGAGUAAUGAACAACACAUUAAUUUCUACUGUUGACACAUGCAUCCAUACACACAUAGUCAUGAAUAAUUUUAGAUUGCACAAGUAGAGUCAUUUUCAUAUCCAAAAUAUGGUUACAUACCUAGAGAUGAUUCAAACAAGACCAAAUAAAGGUCACUAGAACAGCUGAUUCUUCCAGAAUAGUGAGCAUAAACAGGCAGCCAAACAGACAACCAAAUAAGAAACUAACUUCAGCUUUCAAAAACCCAGAGAUUUCAACUCAAGAAGACCAAGAGAAGUUCUUCUACUUCAAGUCAUUUUUAGCUUGUCAGAAAACCAAAGAAGAAAGUUUUUCUCAAAGUUUGAAACUUAGUCUUUUCAGUAGA
Molecule: long non-coding RNA, 1188 nt
Filed under: Nicotiana tabacum (common tobacco)
Lineage: Eukaryota; Viridiplantae; Streptophyta; Magnoliopsida; Solanales; Solanaceae
Description: long non-coding RNA (NTAB_LNC018056)
Source: RNAcentral